AACGAACGCUGGCGGCAUGCCUAACACAUGCAAGUCGAACGAGACCUUCGGGUCUAGUGGCGCACGGGUGCGUAACGCGUGGGAACCUGCCCUUAGGUUCGGAAUAACUCCCCGAAAGGGGUGCUAAUACCGGAUAAUGUCUUCGGACCAAAGAUUUAUCGCCUUUGGAUGGGCCCGCGUUGGAUUAGCUAGUUGGUAGGGUAAAAGCCUACCAAGGCGACGAUCCAUAGCUGGUCUGAGAGGAUGAUCAGCCACACUGGGACUGAGACACGGCCCAGACUCCUACGGGAGGCAGCAGUGGGGAAUAUUGGACAAUGGGCGAAAGCCUGAUCCAGCAAUGCCGCGUGAGUGAAGAAGGCCUUAGGGUUGUAAAGCUCUUUUACCCGGGAUGAUAAUGACAGUACCGAGAGAAUAAGCUCCGGCUAACUCCGUG
RNAcentral lists this ribosomal RNA (433 nucleotides) under uncultured bacterium. Its description in RNAcentral is "partial 16S ribosomal RNA". It matches the Rfam family "Bacterial small subunit ribosomal RNA", at positions 29 to 507 of the family's 1533-position model. The record is from RNAcentral.